UUCGCAAUGCCCGAAAGGGUAACGAAGCGACGCCGCGUGCGGGAAGAAGGCCUUCGGGUUGUAAACCGCUGUCGGGAGUUAAGAAAUGUAAGGAUGUUAAUAGCAUCUUUGCUUGACUAAGGCUCCGGAGGAAGCCACGGCUAACUCUGUGCCAGCAGCCGCGGUAAUACAGAGGCGGCAAGCGUUGUUCGGAAUUAUUGGGCGCAAAGAGCACGUAGGCGGCUAUGUAAGUCGGUUGUGAAAGCCUUCCGCUCAACGGGAGAACAGCAUCCGAUACUGCAUGGCUUGAGUGCGGGAGGGGAGAGUGGAACUUCUGGUGGAGCGGUGAAAUGCGUAGAUAUCAGAAGGAACGCCGGCGGCGAAAGCGGCUCUCUGGCCCAUAACUGACGCUGAGUGUGCGAAAGCUAGGGGAGCAAACGGGAUUAGAUACCCCGGUAGUCCUAGCCGUAAACGAUGGGCACUAAGUAGAGGGGUUUU
Molecule: ribosomal RNA, 477 nt
Filed under: uncultured Planctomycetales bacterium
Lineage: Bacteria; Pseudomonadati; Planctomycetota; Planctomycetia; Planctomycetales
Description: bacterial SSU rRNA
Rfam family: Bacterial small subunit ribosomal RNA
Source: RNAcentral